Molecule: ribosomal RNA, 429 nt
Filed under: Bacteroidota bacterium
Lineage: Bacteria; Pseudomonadati; Bacteroidota
Description: Bacteroidetes bacterium partial 16S ribosomal RNA
Rfam family: Bacterial small subunit ribosomal RNA
Source: RNAcentral
UAGGGAAUCUUCCGCAAUGGACGCAAGUCUGACGGAGCAACGCCGCGUGAGUGAAGAAGGAUUUCGGUUCGUAAAACUCUGUUGUUAGAGAAGAACAGCGCAUAGAGUAACUGUUAUGCGUGUGACGGUAUCUAACCAGAAAGCCACGGCUAACUACGUGCCAGCAGCCGCGGUAAUACGUAGGUGGCAAGCGUUGUCCGGAUUUAGUGGGCGUAAAGCGAGCGCAGGCGGUCAAUUAAGUCUGAUGUGAAAGCCCCCGGCUCAACCGGGGAGGGUCAUUGGAAACUGGUUGACUUGAGUGCAGAAGAGGAGAGUGGAAUUCCAUGUGUAGCGGUGAAAGGCGUAGAUAUAUGGAGGAACACCAGUGGCGAAGGCGACUCUCUGGUCUGUAACUGACGCUGAGGUUCGAAAGCGUGGGUAGCAAACAGG